RNAcentral lists this unclassified non-coding RNA (518 nucleotides) under Hevea brasiliensis (rubber tree). The record is from RNAcentral. Lineage: Eukaryota; Viridiplantae; Streptophyta; Magnoliopsida; Malpighiales; Euphorbiaceae.
UCAGUUGAGAUUCUUGCAGGCUGAUGAAGUUGCAUUACUGGAGAUUCCAGACUUAUACGAAGUGGGGAAUUUAGUUGACCAUCACAGAGACAUGCGAUUGGAUAUAGAGGAUAUGUCUUACGAGGAACUUCUCGCUUUAGGGGAGCGAAUCGGUAAUGUCAGCACUGGUUUAACAGAGGAAAUCAUUAAAACUCAACUAAAAACAAGGAGCUAUGUAGCAUCUGCAACGGUCGUUAAUCUGGAGGAGGAAGAGGAGAGUUCGAGUUUGGAUCAGGAUGCCGAUUACUGUAUUAUUUGCCAGGACCAUUAUCAGAACCGCGAGAAAGUUGGAACACUUGAUUGCGGACACGAGUACCAUGCAAGUUGCUUAAAGAAGUGGCUGCUUGUGAAGAAUGUCUGUCCCAUCUGCAAAUCAGAAGCACUGGUGACAGAUAGAAAGGAACGAUGACGAUCAGAGCACUGUUUAAAUCAAGAGGCUCUGUAUCCUCUUCCUUACAACGCAUCUAUCUAUCAAUGCG